RNAcentral lists this long non-coding RNA (2725 nucleotides) under Olea europaea subsp. europaea. The record is from RNAcentral. Lineage: Eukaryota; Viridiplantae; Streptophyta; Magnoliopsida; Lamiales; Oleaceae.
GCAGCACCCCCGUGUACUGACUCUCAAUGGAAUCUCCAACUUCAAGGACUCCACCAAAGAAAACUUGGAUCUCUUCUCCAAAUGUCGCUGCAGCUCCAUUUCCUCCUCCAAUGAGUCUAAUGGUACGUCGUACCACUCUCCCUAUAACAUCUUAAAAGUGUAUGUAUACUAAUUUGUGUUUACCUUAUGAGUUAUAAAUUUUGUAAUGUGAUGAACUGAUCAUCAAUAGGUUGGAAUUCAUUAUUAUUGAUUCUCAAAUUUGCUUCCAGUUUAUCCUUUUAUGUUUUAAUUAGUAGUUACAUAUUUUUUCCUUUUUACCGGAGAACUUGCAAGUUUAGAAUCGGUGACAUUGGGGGAACCGUCAACUAGGUCAGCAGAACUGGGGAAGAGUGGAUUGGACAAUCUAUUAUCAUCAACUGAUGGUGGAAAGUAUGAUUACGAUUGGUAAUAUCUGAAUAAAUUUCGCUUGUUAUAAAAUGAUGUGUCCAUUUUAAUCUGACAGAGAAUUGUAAGCGCGCAGCCAACAUAAAGCCUUUUUGCUCCCUAUAUUUUAUGGUAGAAACUAGGAAAAUCUUCUCUUGGAAUUAAAUUUUUUGAAUAGCCAAUUAGUUCUAGAUUAAACUCCCUUCCCACGAGGUGGUGCGUAUUCUAAUUAUCGACAAUCAAUAAGUAUAAGGGUGAGUAUCUUGGAUUAUGGGUUAUUGCAGGCAGAAUUCACACUUUGCUAUAGUUCUAAAAUUUAAAAGUCUAAGAGUUGAGCAAAAUAAUUUAGCAGAUUAUCAAAAUAGUCAGUUUUUAAUAAUCAAUUCCAGUACUCAUACUCUAAUAAUCUCCUGUUGUAGCCAACAAAGUCAUGUUAUGGAAAAACAAAACUUUUCAUAGUUGGCGAGAACCAUCACAUAUCUAGGACCUUAUACUUACAGCCCUUAUGUUUGAUAGGCUUCUUAUUCUUGGAACUCCAGUGGUUCCUUCAUUGGAUGGAUAUGAAUCUCGACCAGGUAUUGGGAAUGCGAGAAGCAGUACAUUGGUCAGAUAAAUAUCUACAACAAAAUCUUUAAGGGUACGUCAACCUUUUAUUUCUAGUUGAGUAGGAGCAUUGGUUACAUAUUUCUCUUUGCUGCAUGAUAUUAGCUGGGCUCAUUUUCAUGCCAUAUAAAAAAUACAUUUAGUUGUAACCGUGUUAUGCUCACUUGUUUUAUGAAAAUCUUGCAUUUUUGUUGUUUUAUUUGUCUUUAUUAAGUGAACAAGAUACGUAAUCAACUACUAAACAUUCUCUUGAACAUAACAACUAUCACCUUCCUAUCCUAUUUGUCCGAAAUCACUUUUUAGAAAACAAUUCCAAUUUUAGCUGUCUCAGUCAAACAGCAACCGUCCUAUAUGAUCAACUCGAAGCAGUUCAGCGACUCGACCAUCCAUCUCCAACAAAUCAACCUUUAUUCUAAACACAAGCUCUUCUUCAGUUACAUCUUAUAUAAGACCAUCCACUCCCAGUCGCUCUUCAUCAACUACAACUAUUAGAUUUCGUGCCCCCAAAUUAGGGUUAUUUUUGGAAAAUAUUGUUUCAUUAUUUUCACGUGAUUUUAUUGAAAAAUAUUGUUUCCUUAUUUUCAAAUGAUUUUAUUGGAAAAAUAUUAUUUCCUUUAAUCCACAUUGUCUUUUAUAUUAUUUCCAUCUUCAUGAUAUUUUUAGGGUUUGGUAUGUCUCUAUAAAUAUGUGGCUUUUCAUUUAGUUUAAGUGAAACUUUAUUGUUGAAUUCUAGUAUUCUCUCCACAUAUUGUCUUUAAUAAAACAUCGAUUCCUCUACUUAUCUCUCUUCAGUUUCUUUACUUUAAUCUUGUUUUCUUCGUUGUGAUCAUAUAUAUUUCAUAUUGUCCAUUAAUUAAAAUUCUUGCAUCGCCUUCGGGUUCAACAAGUGGUAUCAAAGCUAGGCGACAAGUUCUUUAUGAUUUGAUUGGGAUUUUUCAGAUAUGACUACAUUGAAGUAUGAUAUUCCGCUACUGGAUCGCAUUACAAGAUUUUCAUUGUGGUAAGUAAAGAUCAGGGUUGUGUUGGCACAGAUGGAUGUAGACGAUGCUUUGUUGACUUUUGAUAAAAUGCCAGCAAAAUGUACAACGAAGGAUUCGGUUUAAGAACCGUCGGGUUCGGUUCGGGAGAUUUGCCCAGCCCUAUAUUUAAUGACAUGAUGUAUUUAAAUAAACAUCAUAUGGCUUUUAUAUAAAUUGUGGAAGCAUCCUUAUGAAGUUUAUUGACCAAUUCAACAAAUUUGAACAACGCUCAAUUAUAUAAAUAUGAAGACUCUCUGCAUAUGUGUGGGGUAAUUUAAUGAAUAGUCACUCAACAUUAUUAUAGGUUACUAUUUGCUCAAUGAUAUCCAAAAAGGUAUUCGUUGCUCAAUGAGCUUUGCUAUAUGUUACUAUUUACAAUGAAAUUGCAAGUGGAGGGUAAAGUUUUGGAUGACUACUACUUGUUUUUGUCUGGAAAUUAUGGGAAUUCUUGCAUUGAUAUUCGUUCCACUUGAUUGGUUUUUUCUGAGUGAUUAAGAUGUAUUUGGUGGAGAGUAGAGGGGGAUGUUAAGGCACAUGGCCUGCGAUUUUGAUAAUCCUGGAGACGCUUGGUUGGAUUCACCCUCGAUCGAAUUCAAUAUUCUUCACAAUUGGAAUGAACUCUAGUUCAAUUUUGUUGGGUGGCUUUUGGCUCCUAGAGGAAAUUCACUAAAGCGAGUGGA